GAUGAACGCUAGCGGGAGGCCUAAUACAUGCAAGUCGAACGGUAAGGUCCUUCGGGAUACACGAGUGGCAAACGGGUGCGUAACGCGUACGGAACAUGCCUCUAUCAGAGAGAUAGCCCUGGGAAACUGGGUAUAAUACCUCAUAGUAUUGUAUUGCCGCAUGGUAUUUACAAUUAAAGCUCCGGCGGAUAGAGAUUGUCGUGCGUCCCAUUAGCUAGUUGGUAAGGUAACGGCUUACCAAGGCGACGAUGGGUAACUGGUUUGAGAGGAUGAUCAGUCACACUGGGACUGAGACACGGCCCAGACACCUACGGGUGGCAGCAGUCGAGAAAUCUUUCACAAUGGGGGAAACCCGUACGAUGGAGGCGACGCCGCGUGGAGGA
This 383-nucleotide ribosomal RNA is filed under the name uncultured bacterium. RNAcentral's name for it is "bacterial SSU rRNA". It matches the Rfam family "Bacterial small subunit ribosomal RNA", at positions 28 to 408 of the family's 1533-position model. The record is from RNAcentral.